GGUUGAUCCUGCCAGUAGUCAUAUGCUUGUCUCAAAGAUUAAGCCAUGCAUGUCUAAGUAUGAGAGGUUUGAAUACUCUGAAACUGCGAAUGGCUCAUUACAUCAGUAACAAUUCCUUUGAUGGUCCACUUGCUACUCGGAUACCCGUAGAAAAUCUAGAGCUAAUACGUGCACUAAGGCCCGAUCCUUCCGGGGAGAGGGCUGCAGCUAUUAGAUACAAGACCGACCGUCGGUUUCCGACGACCCCCGGUGAAUCAUGAUAGCUUUGCGAAUCGCAGGGCACCUUGUGUGCG
This 293-nucleotide ribosomal RNA is filed under the name uncultured eukaryote. RNAcentral describes it as "partial 18S ribosomal RNA". It matches the Rfam family "Eukaryotic small subunit ribosomal RNA", at positions 6 to 289 of the family's 1831-position model. The record is from RNAcentral.